UAGCAAGGUUAAGCACUUAAGGUGCGGAGCCGUAGCGAAAGCGAGUUUUAACUGAGCGUUCAGUUACUGGACGUAGACCCGAAACCGGGCGACCUACCCAUGAGCAGGAUGAAGCGAAAGUAAAAUUGCGUGGAGGUCCGAACCCACGAGCGUUGAAAAGCUCGGGGAGGACUUGUGGGUAGCGGUGAAAUUCCAAUCGAGCCCGGAGAUAGCUGGUUCUCCCCGAAAUAGCUUUAGGGCUAGCCUCAAGGUGAGAGAUACGGAGGUAGAGCACUGAAUGUCCUAGGGGGUAUUGCACCU
This 300-nucleotide ribosomal RNA is filed under the name Clostridioides difficile. RNAcentral describes it as "bacterial LSU rRNA". It matches the Rfam family "Bacterial large subunit ribosomal RNA", at positions 638 to 937 of the family's 2925-position model. The record is from RNAcentral. Lineage: Bacteria; Bacillati; Bacillota; Clostridia; Peptostreptococcales; Peptostreptococcaceae.